This 92-nucleotide transfer RNA is filed under the name Hypsizygus marmoreus. It matches the Rfam family "tRNA". From Rfam's summary of the family: Transfer RNA (tRNA) molecules are approximately 80 nucleotides in length. The record is from Rfam by way of RNAcentral. Lineage: Eukaryota; Fungi; Basidiomycota; Agaricomycetes; Agaricales; Lyophyllaceae.
GGCGCUAUAGCCAAGUGGUUACGGCGACAGAUUCGAACCUGUGUUGCAUCUGUUCCCAUAUUGGGGCGUAGGUUCAAAUCCUGCUGGCGUCG